RNAcentral lists this ribosomal RNA (253 nucleotides) under uncultured bacterium. RNAcentral's name for it is "partial 16S ribosomal RNA". It matches the Rfam family "Bacterial small subunit ribosomal RNA", at positions 524 to 776 of the family's 1533-position model. The record is from RNAcentral.
UACGUAGGGGGCAAGCGUUGUCCGGAAUUAUUGGGCGUAAAGAGCGCGUAGGCGGUCCGAUAAGUCGGCUGUGAAAGUCCAGGGCUCAACCCUGGAAAGCCGGCCGAUACUGUCGGACUAGAGUCCGGAAGAGGCAAGUGGAAUUCCCGGUGUAGCGGUGAAAUGCGCAGAUAUCGGGAGGAACACCAAUUGCGAAGGCAGCAUCCUGGACCGGUAUUGACGCUGAGGCGCGAAAGCUAGGGGAGCAAACGGG